GCCGACGUAGCUCAAUACGGCAGAGCAAGCGCCUUGUAAGCGCUAGGUUAUGGGUUCAAGUCCCAUCGUCGGCU
RNAcentral lists this transfer RNA (74 nucleotides) under Chloroflexota bacterium. RNAcentral describes it as "Chloroflexi bacterium (anaerobic digester metagenome) tRNA-Thr". It matches the Rfam family "tRNA". From Rfam's summary of the family: Transfer RNA (tRNA) molecules are approximately 80 nucleotides in length. Their secondary structure includes four short double-helical elements and three loops (D, anti-codon, and T loops). Lineage: Bacteria; Bacillati; Chloroflexota. The record is from RNAcentral. RNAcentral also lists the same sequence under 3 other names.